CUGGGAGCUUUCGCGGUAUGGGAUGGGGUCGCGUCCUAUCAGCUUGACGGCGGGGUAACGGCCCACCGUGGCUUCGACGGGUAGCCGGCCUGAGAGGGCGACCGGCCACAUUGGGACUGAGAUACGGCCCAGACUCCUACGGGAGGCAGCAGUGGGGAAUAUUGCACAAUGGGCGCAAGCCUGAUGCAGCGACGCCGCGUGAGGGAUGGAGGCCUUCGGGUUGUAAACCUCUUUUAUCGGGGAGCAAGCGAGAGUGAGUUUACCCGUUGAAUAAGCACCGGCUAACUACGUGCCAGCAGCCGCGGUAAUACGUAGGGUGCAAGCGUUAUCCGGAAUUAUUGGGCGUAAAGGGCUCGUAGGCGGUUCGUCGCGUCCGGUGUGAAAGUCCAUCGCUUAACGGUGGAUCCGCGCCGGGUACGGGCGGGCUUGAGUGCGGUAGGGGAGACUGGAAUUCCCGGUGUAACGGUGG
This 469-nucleotide ribosomal RNA is filed under the name Bifidobacterium longum. RNAcentral describes it as "bacterial SSU rRNA". It matches the Rfam family "Bacterial small subunit ribosomal RNA", at positions 200 to 684 of the family's 1533-position model. Lineage: Bacteria; Bacillati; Actinomycetota; Actinomycetes; Bifidobacteriales; Bifidobacteriaceae. The record is from RNAcentral.